This 492-nucleotide ribosomal RNA is filed under the name uncultured bacterium. RNAcentral's name for it is "partial 16S ribosomal RNA". It matches the Rfam family "Bacterial small subunit ribosomal RNA", at positions 29 to 507 of the family's 1533-position model. The record is from RNAcentral.
AGUGAACGCUGGCGGUAGGCCUAACAUAUGCAAGUCGAACGGCAGCACAGUAAGAGCUUGCUCUUACGGGUGGCGAGUGGCGGACGGGUGAGGAAUACAUCGGAAUCUACUUUUUCGUGGGGGAUAACGUAGGGAAACUUACGCUAAUACCGCAUACGACCUACGGUUGAAAGCAGGGGAUCUUCGGACCUUGCGCGAUUGAAUGAGCCGAUGUCGGAUUAGCUAGUUGGCGGGGUAAAGGCCCACCAAGGCGACGAUCCGUAGCUGGUCUGAGAGGAUGAUCAGCCACAAUGGAACUGAGACACGGUCCAGACUCCUACGGGAGGCAGCAGUGGGGAAUAUUGGACAAUGAGAGCAAGACUGAUCCAGCCAUACCGCGUGGGUGAAGAAGGCCUUCGGGUUGUAAAGCCCUUUUGUUGGGAAAGAAAAGCAGCAGGUUAAUACCACGCUGUUCUGACGGUACCCAAAGAAUAAGCACCGGCUAACUUCGUG